This 252-nucleotide ribosomal RNA is filed under the name uncultured bacterium. Its description in RNAcentral is "partial 16S ribosomal RNA". It matches the Rfam family "Bacterial small subunit ribosomal RNA", at positions 524 to 775 of the family's 1533-position model. The record is from RNAcentral.
UACGGAGGGGGCUAGCGUUGUUCGGAAUUACUGGGCGUAAAGCGCACGUAGGCGGCUUUGUAAGUUAGAGGUGAAAGCCCAGGGCUCAACCCUGGAAUUGCCUUUAAGACUGCAUCGCUAGAAUUGUGGAGAGGUAAGUGGAAUUCCGAGUGUAGAGGUGAAAUUCGUAGAUAUUCGGAAGAACACCAGUGGCGAAGGCGACUUACUGGACACAUAUUGACGCUGAGGUGCGAAAGCGUGGGGAGCAACAGG